GCGCGGGUGGUGGAACUGGUAGACACGUACGUUUGAGGGGCGUAUGCCUAACGGCUUGAGGGUUCGAGUCCCUCCCCGCGCA
RNAcentral lists this transfer RNA (82 nucleotides) under Elusimicrobiota bacterium. Its description in RNAcentral is "Elusimicrobia bacterium (groundwater metagenome) tRNA-Leu". It matches the Rfam family "tRNA". From Rfam's summary of the family: Transfer RNA (tRNA) molecules are approximately 80 nucleotides in length. Their secondary structure includes four short double-helical elements and three loops (D, anti-codon, and T loops). The record is from RNAcentral. Lineage: Bacteria; Pseudomonadati; Elusimicrobiota.